Long non-coding RNA from Microplitis mediator, 1016 nucleotides. RefSeq lists it as uncharacterized. The transcript is spliced from 3 exons. The record is from RefSeq and is a predicted model, not a curated record. Lineage: Eukaryota; Metazoa; Arthropoda; Insecta; Hymenoptera; Braconidae.
CGAUUCAAAUCUUUCUCAGCCGAAUUAGUAAAUUUCUUCAACUUUGAUGGAAAAUGGGUUCAUAAAUUCAACCCAGAGUCGCCUAAACCAUUCUAUUAUAAUGAAAAUUCAUCAACAAAUGUUCCAGUGUUUACUCUAAGAGACAAUUUCAAGUAUGGUACAAUCUCUCAGUACAAUGCAAGAUAUUUUAAACUUCCCGUCCAGGUAUUUGAAAAGUGUUAAAACUUUUACAUUAAACGAUUAAAUAAUAACUAAUUUUCAAUAUCUUGUUCCUCAACAACAACAGAAUCCAAAUGAUGCCUCUUUAGGCUGGACAAUAGUUUUCUCCAAUGAGACAAAAGGACUUGUAGAAGUAGUGAAUAACUUGAAAACAAUAAACUUUUCCCAAUUGAAUGAAUCUUAUGGCCCAGCGACUGUUACUUUACCGCAAUUCACUUUUUCAUUCGAAUAUGAUGCAAAAACGACUUUCCAAAAGACCGGAUUAUACUAUCCAUUUGGAUUUGCUGCUGACUUUUCUGACUUCGCCCAGAGUCGAUUAAGAAUCAGAUAUGCGACUCAGAAAUCAUAUCUCAGUUUCAAUGAACAUGGAAGUCAAGCAGCUUCCGUUUUUGGACUGAAUUUCGAAAGAACACCAACAGAAUCCGAAACUGAACCAUCACAACCUGGAGAUUCAUUCGCACAGCCUGCAUAUGAACCAAUACCACCCACAGUUGCAGCACACUACCCGUAUGAUGACAAUGUAUCGGCAUCAGUUCCAGUUUUCAAUGUUAACAGACCAUUCCUGGCAUUGUACGGAAAUUCCAAAAAUAUCUUCUUCAUCUCUGUUGUUAAUAAGCUAUAAAAUAGCAGCAAUUGAAUGAUUUCCACUUAUUAUAACUGACAUAUGCUCAAUACGGAUUCACGUAUUAAUUAAUGACAUGGCUUGAUUUAAUUUCUUCUUUUAAUCAUUGUACGUUAAAGAUGUACUCAUCUAUCACUUGACAUCUUCAAUUGUACAUUUAACCAAUAAACUUUUA